This 733-nucleotide long non-coding RNA is filed under the name Homo sapiens (human). Its description in RNAcentral is "non-protein coding lnc-ZNF746-3:5". The record is from RNAcentral. Lineage: Eukaryota; Metazoa; Chordata; Mammalia; Primates; Hominidae.
GCCCAGCAGAGAUUGAGUAACUUAUGCGAGUUGUCACUCACCUCACACGCCCCAGCAAGCAUCCAGGAGAGCCUGCCUCUUGGAAUAGAAAUCAGACAUCCCACAGGAACUCUGAGGUUUUCCCACUGCUGCCAGAUGUAUGCAAGGAACACGUGAUCUUCGUAAUUCCAGAGCGGGGCAAACUGCUUGGCACCUCUUCAAUAGGUGACAUUCAAUGAUAGAUCUCUGGCUUCCUGCUCUGUUUGUUCUGGUUGCCCUGGAAAGCCUGCUGCUCAGCCCAUGCCCCGGGACUUCCUCCACCCUCACCAGGACAUUCUUUCCAUCUCUUGUCUCCUGUGUGCAAGUCCCUUUCUCCUGGAUUCCAUGUCUUGAAUGUUUCUUAAUUUACUUCCUCAUUUUGGCAGAGGAUGUCCUCCAGUUGUUUUCUGGGAAUGCUAAUAUGCAAGUGAACCAGUGACCUGCAGUUCUGCCCACACAGGGUUAAUAACCAAUCAGAUUCUCUCUUUUCAAGAUGGUUAACAUAACAGACACCAAGAAAGGGAAGAGGAGCCGACAGCAGAGGGGGAAGCUGAAAAGACGCACAAAGAAUGGCCAUAAAAGAUAUGAGCAACCCCAGCUUUCCAGACAGUCACUUUUCCCAGUGGUCAUACCUGGUCUGGAAGAUUCCCCAUCAUCUCGAAUAAAGGUAAGCACUUCCUAAGUCCCCUUCAGCAACACAUGCACAAACCGCCUC